UGAACUCCAAAAUUGAGGAACA
RNAcentral lists this small nuclear RNA (22 nucleotides) under Arabidopsis thaliana (thale cress). RNAcentral describes it as "snRNA_03129". Lineage: Eukaryota; Viridiplantae; Streptophyta; Magnoliopsida; Brassicales; Brassicaceae. The record is from RNAcentral.